RNAcentral lists this ribosomal RNA (594 nucleotides) under Synechocystis sp. CDI2. Its description in RNAcentral is "bacterial SSU rRNA". Lineage: Bacteria; Bacillati; Cyanobacteriota; Cyanophyceae; Synechococcales; Merismopediaceae. The record is from RNAcentral.
CRUCGAGCUACACAUGCAGUCGAACGGACCCUUCGGGGUUAGUGGCGGACGGGUGAGUAACGCGUGAGAACCUACCUUCUGGAUGGGGAUAACAGUUGGAAACGACUGCUAAUACCCAAUGUGCCGAGAGGUGAAAGAUUUAUUGCCAGAAGAUGGGCUCGCGUCUGAUUAGCUAGUUGGUGGUGUAAGGGACUACCAAGGCGACGAUCAGUAGCUGGUCUGAGAGGAUGAGCAGCCACACUGGGACUGAGACACGGCCCAGACUCCUACGGGAGGCAGCAGUGGGGAAUUUUCCGCAAUGGGCGAAAGCCUGACGGAGCAAUACCGCGUGAGGGAGGAAGGUCUUUGGAUUGUAAACCUCUUUUCUAGGGGAAGAAGUUCUGACGGUACCCUAGGAAUAAGCAUCGGCUAACUCCGUGCCAGCAGCCGCGGUAAUACGGAGGAUGCAAGCGUUAUCCGGAAUUAUUGGGCGUAAAGCGUCCGUAGGUGGUGAUACAAGUCUGCCGUCAAAGAGUGGGGCUUAACCCCAUAAAGGCGGUGGAAACUGUGUGACUAGAGUUCGGUAGGGGUGGCGGGAAUUCCCAGUGUGKCGGU